CAUUUGGCCUUUUCUUUUUACGUUUCUUGAUUUUUUAAAUGUGUGCACACAUGUUUAAUACUUCUCUUAGCUGCUUUGGGAUUGUGUAAAAUGAAAAGCAGGGUACGCAUUUUUAGAAUAUUGAGUGACAACAGUGCUUGCUUCUUAAUUUCUCUUACAUGGCCACACACACACACACACACACCCCUUGUAGUCCCAGAUAGGGAGGUCCAUGACUUGCAUUUCAUCACAAAUGAAUGUGACAUCAUUAGUCUUUGUUAACACUGCAGUUUGCUUAUUAAAUGGUCAAAGAUGCCAGAGCAAACCACAAGCUCUGAAAGGGUCAUCAAGGACAGGUGGUGCUCUCGCUGCUAAGAGCACAUAAGGACACAAGGACAAGCACCUGGUCAGAUUCGAAUGUAGCGGGAGAAAUGGCCAGAUUCCAACGCAGCAGGAGCCAGAGACAAACCCUUCUCCAUCGCAGGCGUCGCCGAAGGGCCAGUCAAGGAGGCAGAUCUGGAAGGAGGUGGAGAAGAAGACACCAAGGCAGAGGGAGGAGAGGUCAAAGAUCACGUGGUCACAGCAGGGGGAGAAGGAGAAGGAGAGAUAGUGAACGCGACUAAGCCCUUUCAUCUUCAUGGUGUCCAGUGACCUUGGUUUUAAGUCACUCAUCUCACUAAAGACUCCACAAAACAAAAAACUGAAACAAAACCACUCCUGUUUGAAGACUCAGGAAGAAUUACCAAAGAACCAUGGAGGCUGAAACCAUUUGAAUCUUGUCAAUAAAUGCUGACAUAGCA
This is a long non-coding RNA of Hemicordylus capensis (graceful crag lizard), 779 nucleotides long. RefSeq lists it as uncharacterized. The transcript is spliced from 2 exons. Lineage: Eukaryota; Metazoa; Chordata; Lepidosauria; Squamata; Cordylidae. The record is from RefSeq and is a predicted model, not a curated record.